RNAcentral lists this ribosomal RNA (523 nucleotides) under uncultured soil bacterium. Its description in RNAcentral is "bacterial SSU rRNA". It matches the Rfam family "Bacterial small subunit ribosomal RNA", at positions 8 to 526 of the family's 1533-position model. The record is from RNAcentral.
AGAGUUUGAUCCUGGCUNNNNNNNNNNGCUGGCGGCAGGCCUAACACAUGCAAGUCGAGCGGUAGAGAGGAGCUUGCUUCUCUUGAGAGCGGCGGACGGGUGAGUAAUGCCUAGGAAUCUGCCUAGUGGUGGGGGAUAACGUUCGGAAACGGACGCUAAUACCGCAUACGUCCUACGGGAGAAAGCGGGGGACCUUCGGGCCUCGCGCCAUUAGAUGAGCCUAGGUCGGAUUAGCUAGUUGGUGAGGUAACGGCUCACCAAGGCGACGAUCCGUAACUGGUCUGAGAGGAUGAUCAGUCACACUGGAACUGAGACACGGUCCAGACUCCUACGGGAGGCAGCAGUGGGGAAUAUUGGACAAUGGGCGAAAGCCUGAUCCAGCCAUGCCGCGUGUGUGAAGAAGGUCUUCGGAUUGUAAAGCACUUUAAGUUGGGAGGAAGGGUAGUAACUUAAUACGUUGCUACUUUGACGUUACCGACAGAAUAAGCACCGGCUAACUUCGUGCCAGCCGCCGCGGUAAUAC